GACGAACGCUGGCGGCGUGCUUAACACAUGCAAGUCGAACGGAAAGGCCCUGCUUUUGUGGGGUGCUCGAGUGGCGAACGGGUGAGUAACACGUGAGUAACCUGCCCUUGACUUUGGGAUAACUUCAGGAAACUGGGGCUAAUACCGGAUAGGAGCUCCUGCUGCAUGGGGGGGGUUGGAAAGUUUCGGCGGUUGGGGAUGGACUCGCGGCUUAUCAGCUUGUUGGUGGGGGAGUGGCUUACCAAGGCUUUGACGGGUAGCCGGCCUGAGAGGGUGACCGGCCACAUUGGGACUGCGAUACGGCCCAGACUCCUACGGGAGGCAGCAGUGGGGAAUAUUGCACAAUGGGCGGAAGCCUGAUGCAGCAACGCCGCGUGCGGGAUGACGGCCUUCGGGUUGUAAACCGCUUUCGCCUGUGACGAAGCGUGAGUGACGGUAAUGGGUAAAGAAGCACCGGCUAACUACGUG
Molecule: ribosomal RNA, 468 nt
Filed under: uncultured bacterium
Lineage: Bacteria
Description: partial 16S ribosomal RNA
Rfam family: Bacterial small subunit ribosomal RNA
Source: RNAcentral